AUUGAACGCUGGCGGCAGGCCUAACACAUGCAAGUCGAACGGUAACAGGAAGCUGCUUGCUGCUUUGCUGACGAGUGGCGGACGGGUGGGUUAUGUCUGGGAAACUGCCCGAUGGAGGGGGAUAACUACUGGAAACGGUAGCUACUACCGCAUAACGUCGCAAGACCAAAGAGGGGGAGAUUAGAGCCUCUUGCCAUCGGAUGUGCCCAGAUGGGAUUAGCUAGUAGGUGGGGUAACGGCUCACCUAGGCGACGAUCUCUAGCUGGUCUGAGAGGAUGACCAGUCACACUGGAACGGAGACACGGUCAAGACUCCUACGGGAGGCAGCAGUGGGGAAUAUUGCACAAUGGGCGCAAGCCUGAUGCAGCCAUGCCGCGUGUAUGAAGAAGGCCUUCGGGUUGUAAAGUACUUUCAGCGGGGAGGAAGGGAAUAAAGUUAAUACCUUGGCGCUUUGACGUUACCCGCAGAAGAAGCACCGGCUAACUUCGUG
Molecule: ribosomal RNA, 490 nt
Filed under: uncultured bacterium
Lineage: Bacteria
Description: partial 16S ribosomal RNA
Rfam family: Bacterial small subunit ribosomal RNA
Source: RNAcentral